UCCUGCUUAGCUCAGUUAGGAAAGCGCCCUACUGGAAAUGGAGAGCUUCCUGGUUUGAUACCAGGACCAGUAG
RNAcentral lists this transfer RNA (73 nucleotides) under Ixodes scapularis (black-legged tick). RNAcentral describes it as "tRNA-Ser". The record is from RNAcentral. Lineage: Eukaryota; Metazoa; Arthropoda; Arachnida; Ixodida; Ixodidae.